This 484-nucleotide ribosomal RNA is filed under the name uncultured bacterium. Its description in RNAcentral is "partial 16S ribosomal RNA". It matches the Rfam family "Bacterial small subunit ribosomal RNA", at positions 30 to 507 of the family's 1533-position model. The record is from RNAcentral.
AUUGAACGCUGGCGGCAGGCCUAACACAUGCAAGUCGAGCGGAUGAAGGGAGCUUGCUCCUGGAUUCAGCGGCGGACGGGUGAGUAAUGCCUAGGAAUCUGCCUGGUAGUGGGGGAUACCUUCCGGAAACGGGCGCUAAUACCGCUUACGUCCUGAGGGGGAAAGUGGGGGAUCUUCGGCCCUCACGCUAUCAGAUGAGCCUAGGUCGGAUUAGCUAGUUGGUGGGGUAAAGGCCUACCAAGGCGACGAUCCGUAACUGGUCUGAGAGGAUGAUCAGUCACACUGGAACUGAGACACGGUCCAGACUCCUACGGGAGGCAGCAGUGGGGAAUAUUGGACAAUGGGCGAAAGCCUGAUCCAGCCAUGCCGCGUGUGUGAAGAAGGUCUUCGGAUUGUAAAGCACUUUAAGUUGGGAGGAAGGGCAGUAAGUUAAUACCUUGCUGUUUUGACGUUACCAACAGAAUAAGCACCGGCUAACUUCGUG